Hirundo rustica (Barn swallow) is the source of this 2834-nucleotide long non-coding RNA. RefSeq lists it as uncharacterized. The transcript is spliced from 3 exons. Lineage: Eukaryota; Metazoa; Chordata; Aves; Passeriformes; Hirundinidae. The record is from RefSeq and is a predicted model, not a curated record.
GGUGCCUCUGUCAGUUUGUGAUAACACAUGCCCUUUACAACCUGCUGCUCUCUUUGGAUCAUCUGCACAAAAUCCAUACAGAAUCACAGAGCGAUACAGAAUUGGGCCAGAAGAAACCUUUGAGUAAUAUCUGCUGGUGUCCUCUAUGCUAAGGAGAGGCCAUCACGGGCAUGCUGCUCCUACUGCCCACUCCCAUCUGACACCACCACAGCCUCCUCAGCUGAUGGAGCCCAGGCUUUGUUUCUCCCUCCAAGGAGGAGAGGGUCAAUGGGAUGCAGUGCCAUGCAGAAUACCAACCGGGCAUGCAGAAGACAGAAACUUAAACGGGGUGACAUCUCCACUUUGCCAAUGCAUUGGAUGGACACAGAAAAUCUCAAAAAAGAUGUCUGGAAAAUCUGAGUUUGUUUUGUCCCCCACAGUCUUCAAGAUUUUAUUUUCUGGAUCUGUGACCGAGUCUCUCGACAAAUAAAUCCCCAGGGCUACCAGGGAAAGAUUUCUCCCAACUCGAGCUGAGAUCUUGGCCAAGUUCCAACCACUGCUGCAGAUGUCCUGUCUGACAUGGGGCGGGCAGCCACCACUGACCCCACAUGUCUGCUCAUCUACCAAACUGGGAUGUGAAAGCUCCCACACAACACAGUGCUUUGCCAGAUGUGUUGUUGAACUUCAUGUGUUUAUGUUUGUGAAGAGAACAUAGGAUGAAAGGCAUUGCAGAAAUGCAAGAUAUGAUUUGUUAUGAUUUAAAAGCCAUUCUGAUUUAGCAAUGCUACUUUCAAAUAUUUGCAUCCUGCAGGCAUUUCCAGAUAAGGACUCAAGCCCAGCUUUUCUUUUCCGGUACCGAUUUUUUUAAAAAGCAGAGUGGUUUCCAAACCCUUUGGAAAUGGAACUUUGAGCUUGCCUGCUGCAGCCUGUGUGACCACAGGAGCCAGGCUGUGGCUUUACAGGCAUGGAGGCAUGGAAAGCAGUCCUGUUCUUGCUUCUGUUCCCUCUGUGAAGAGACCCUGUAUCUCCCCCAGCUUCACCCUGCACACCCAUUCUUGCAGGCAUUCAUGAAGGUAACACAAACCAAGCUGGAACAUUUUGCCAGUGUGUGUGGAGUUGGGGCUGCAGCAGGGCAGAGAGGGCAGAAAGCUCGGAGACUGAUGUCCCCACAGCAGUAACUGUUAAAAGGACUCACCUCAUCACUGGCACCUGGAAUUUCUUCCCACCUCAUCACUGGCACCUGGAAUUUCUUCCCACUUACCUGAACUGAGGCAUGCAUGAAUGUGAGAAUAAGUCCUGUGGGAUGUCUCUGAGCCCCUGCUAAAAUCCAGUAAUUUAAAUAAGCAUAGGGGACUAAAGACAAAGACAACAGAAUUUAAGGAUUUCUGUCUUAUAUCCUAAAAUAAAUAUGAAAUUUUCCAUUCCCAGUGAAGGUAGCAAGUACCUCCUGCUCAAAGUCUUCCAGCUGAGAGCACUCUGGGCACAUGUGAUGGUGCUGCUCAGAUACUCUGGCCCCAGCCCCCUUUCCCUGGCCUCCCCACGUUGAGCCAUAUCAGUCCUGGGCUUCAUUGCCUCGAGCUUGGGUAGUGAGGGGUCAGUGAGGAGUGCAGUGCCUAAAAAAAUCCCCAAAAGCAGUGAGUGGGGACCUGCUGACUUUAGGCUUCCAACAAUGCAACCCAAUCAAAUGCAUCUAAUUUCCCAGUCACCACUUCUUGCACACGACCUGUUAAAAGGAUUAAAUUAAAAGAAUUCCCAGAGCUAAUCUAGUGAUGAUAUGAUGAGAGACAGGAGCUCAAGCAUAUCCCAGAGGUGACUGAUCAGGUUUCCUAGGAUGUAUUAUUUAUGGGGCCAUCUGCUUUAGACAAGCCUUGAAGUCUGAAAGGGAGGAGGAUUUUGAUGGAAUUCACUCAUUUAACUGGAAGAGGGUGAUUGUGGAAGGGAUGCUGUGGUUUCUCACCGCUCUUGCCACCUCUCUCUAAAAAAUGAUGCAGUAGUUAUUUACAGAAUAAAGCUGGCAGCAGGGUACCUCUGUGUCUAUGCCUUCAACAAAAUGCUGCUGAACUCUGAGAGCUCACGUGUGUCCUCAGAGAAGGGGCCAUUCAUAGCAAGGUCCAUUAGCAUCAGGGAGAGAGGUGUAAAUAUGUUUCAGCCUGAGCUACUGGUACUGUGAAAAACACAGGUGUAUAAACAGAGCCAUGACUGGAAUGUGAGGAGGUAGGGGGGUGGCCAAAAAAGAGGCAGAGUUGGCAGGAAAACAGGAAGAAUUUUCCCAAGAUAGGUGAUUUAGUUACUAUAUAGCUCAGUAACUGCAGGAUCUGUUUACAGCAAUUGCAGACAACACAAAGCAAAAUCACAAAUGUAUAAAAAGAAACUGUCUUUCUUUCUGAUUUAGGCUGACAUACUAUUUAAAUAAUGUGGGUCAAGCAAUCUGAAAUAAAAUAUCUUCAUGAACAGAAUUCCCUUCUGUCCAUCUCCCACGGUGCUAAAAGUAGCCACCUUCUGCUGACAUUUCCCCAUCACAUGUGCAUUAUCAGAUUUCUAAAUAUUGAAGCUUCCUCAGGGUAAUGUCUAAGCCUUUCUUAGUGAUCAGGAGCGAAAGUCCUGAAAGCCUCAAAGCUUUGGCUUUGAAAAUUCUACUAAACCUUUACACAGAAAUUUGCUGGAAGCUACCUGUCAGUUUGCUGCCCACUUUCCAGUAAUUCAGACUAAUGACUUGUCCACACCCCCUCUUUUUUUGCCCUUUGCAUCUGUCUAGAAGGAGCUUUCUGCUCCAGUUACUGGUUUAAUAACACAAGGCUAUGUACUGAGGCAAAAUUCUCACACAGUCCUACUUGGUUUGUCUCAUGACUGUUUUC